AAUCAACGCUGGCGGCGUGCCUCAGACAUGCAAGUCGAACGAUUAAAGCUCUCUUCGGAGAGUGUAUAGAGUGGCGCACGGGUGAGUAACACGUAAGUAAUCUACCUUUGAGUGGGGAAUAACAAUCGGAAACGAUUGCUAAUACCGCAUAAUGCAGCGGCAUCGCAAGAUGACAGUUGUUAAAGGAGCAAUCCGCUUAAAGAGGAGCUUGCGGCAGAUUAGCUAGUUGGUAAGGUAAUGGCUUACCAAGGCUACGAUCUGUAUCCGGUCUAAGAGGACGGUCGGACACACUGACACUGAAUAACGGGUCAGACUCCUACGGGAGGCAGCAGUCGGGAAUUUUGGGUCAAUGGGCGAAAGCCUGACCCAGCAACGCCGCGUGAAGGAUGAAGUAUUUCGGCAUGUAAACUUCGAAAGAAUAGGAAGAAUAAAUGACGGUACUAUUUAUAAGGUCCGGCUAACUACGUGCCAGCCGCCGCUGUAAU
This 485-nucleotide ribosomal RNA is filed under the name uncultured bacterium. RNAcentral's name for it is "bacterial SSU rRNA". It matches the Rfam family "Bacterial small subunit ribosomal RNA", at positions 32 to 524 of the family's 1533-position model. The record is from RNAcentral.